GACCACGCCUCCAUGCGUCAAGGCCAUACGGACAGCCGGGUCCAAUGCCGA
This 51-nucleotide small RNA is filed under the name pig gut metagenome. Its description in RNAcentral is "Streptococcus sRNA SpF59 (ldcC RNA)". It matches the Rfam family "Streptococcus sRNA SpF59 (ldcC RNA)". The record is from RNAcentral.